Molecule: ribosomal RNA, 164 nt
Filed under: Puccinellia angustata
Lineage: Eukaryota; Viridiplantae; Streptophyta; Magnoliopsida; Poales; Poaceae
Description: 5.8S ribosomal RNA
Rfam family: 5.8S ribosomal RNA
About the family: 5.8S ribosomal RNA (5.8S rRNA) is a component of the large subunit of the eukaryotic ribosome. It is transcribed by RNA polymerase I as part of the 45S precursor that also contains 18S and 28S rRNA. Functionally, it is thought that 5.8S rRNA may be involved in ribosome translocation.
Source: RNAcentral
GACUCUCGGCAACGGAUAUCUCGGCUCUCGCAUCGAUGAAGAACGUAGCGAAAUGCGAUACCUGGUGUGAAUUGCANAAUCCCGCGAACCAUCGAGUCUUUGAACGCAAGUUGCGCCCGAGGCCUCUUGGCUGAGGGCACGCCUGCCUGGGCGUCACGCCAAAU